UGGGGAAUAUUGGACAAUGGAGGGAACUCUGAUGCAGCGACGCCGCGUGAGUGAUGAAGGAAUUCGUUUCGUAAAACUCUGUUCUAUGGGAAGAAAAGGACUGUACCAUAGGAGAAAGCUCCGGCUAAAUACGUGCCAGCAGCCGCGGUAAUACGUAUGGAGCGAGCGUUGUCCGGAAUUAUUGGGCGUAAAGGGUGCACAGGCGGCUUUACAAGUUGGAUGUGAAAUAUUGUGGCUCAACCACAAACGUGCAUCCAAAACUGCAAAGCUUGAGUUAAGGAGAGGUAAGUGGAAUUCCUGGUGUAGCGGUGGAAUGCGUAGAUAUCAGGAGGAAUACCGGUGGCGAAGGCGACUUACUGGACUUAAACUGACGCUCAGGCACGAAAGCGUGGGGAGCAAACAGG
RNAcentral lists this ribosomal RNA (404 nucleotides) under Fusobacteriota bacterium. RNAcentral's name for it is "Fusobacteria bacterium partial 16S ribosomal RNA". It matches the Rfam family "Bacterial small subunit ribosomal RNA", at positions 355 to 776 of the family's 1533-position model. Lineage: Bacteria; Fusobacteriati; Fusobacteriota. The record is from RNAcentral.